This 88-nucleotide transfer RNA is filed under the name Deltaproteobacteria bacterium. RNAcentral's name for it is "tRNA-Leu". It matches the Rfam family "tRNA". From Rfam's summary of the family: Transfer RNA (tRNA) molecules are approximately 80 nucleotides in length. The record is from RNAcentral. Lineage: Bacteria; Pseudomonadati; Myxococcota; Myxococcia.
GCCGGAGUGGUGAAACUGGUAGACGCAGAGGACUCAAAAUCCUCCGAACAUUAUGUUCGUGUCGGUUCAAUUCCGACCUCCGGCACCA